This is a long non-coding RNA of Mus musculus (house mouse), 933 nucleotides long. RefSeq annotates it as predicted gene, 49607. The transcript has 3 exons. NCBI's taxonomy places the organism in Eukaryota, Metazoa, Chordata, Mammalia, Rodentia, Muridae. The record is from RefSeq and is marked validated.
CUCUCUGACCCCGGCUGUGGCUCCAUCGUGGACAGCGGCUUUCCCAGCAGAUGGGCUGCACUUCAGAUGGCCUGAAACUGAAGAAAAGGGGGAAGAAGAGACUCCUGCCUCCUCCUCCAGCCAGGGCUACAUCUCAGAGUCAGCACCAGGUCUGAAUGAAAGGGCUAAACAACUCAGUCCAGGGACAGUUUCCAUGAAAACCACAUGGUGAUAUUUUUAGAGAAGACAAAGAACUCCUUCAUGACUUGAAAAUGAGUGUGGUGGCAGCCAUCCACCAACAGCAAACUAGAGGAAAAAGUAAGAGGACGCCGCAGUGGUGUUUGGGUAGAGAAGCUGCCUUGGGCAAGGCACCAGUGUCACCCCAUGAGUAGACUCCCAUGAGCAUGUGCAGGACUCGCUUCUUCCUAUCAACAGGAUGCCAUCACAGGCAACACUGAAGCUCCGUCGACAUCUCCUCUUGCUCACUUCAGCCUCCGGGUACCAUCAGACGAACAGACUCCUCCAGUACACGCUCUUGCUCUGAUACCCAGUGCACAUGGUUGCAACCUCUAAGACCAGGAGCCAAAGCAGACCUUGCCGCUUACUGAUUCACUGGGAUACUUCGUUACAGUGAAACAAAGUUCACUAACAGAGCACAACCUUAUUUGGAAACAGCACUAUUUCAGCAAUAGAGCAUUAUACUGGGUAAGUCCUGUCCCAGUGCAAGGUGAGAGGAGAGUACACGCUGAAGCUCUGAAGUCUGUAAGCGAAUUUCUCACAAUGCUUAGGGCACACAUGUCUGGCCUUCCUCGUUUGUGCUGCCACUCCCUUAACAUUCGCUCCGGGUCCUUUUUCUCCCUACCUACUACCCUACACAACCCUGCUGUUUCCUGAAUUUGAAGAGUUGCCUCAUACUUUAUUAAAUAUAACAAGCCAUUGAUGACUAUAAACUGC